This 429-nucleotide ribosomal RNA is filed under the name uncultured Gammaproteobacteria bacterium. Its description in RNAcentral is "bacterial SSU rRNA". It matches the Rfam family "Bacterial small subunit ribosomal RNA", at positions 355 to 776 of the family's 1533-position model. The record is from RNAcentral. Lineage: Bacteria; Pseudomonadati; Pseudomonadota; Gammaproteobacteria.
UAGGGAAUAUUGGACAAUGGGGGAAACCCUGAUCCAGCAAUGCCGCGUGUGUGAAGAAGGCCUGCGGGUUGUAAAGCACUUUUGUCGGGGAAGAAAAGCGCUGUGCUAAUACCACGGCGUCUUGACGUAACCCGGAGAAUAAGCACCGGCUAACUCUGUGCCAGCAGCCGCGGUAAUACAGAGGGUGCAAGCGUUAAUCGGAAUUACUGGGCGUAAAGCGUGUGUAGGCGGUUACUUAAGUCGGGUGUGAAAUCCCUGGGCUCAACCUAGGAAUUGCAUUCGAUACUGGGUAGCUAGAGUAUGGUAGAGGGUGGCGGAAUUCCGGGUGUAGCGGUGAAAUGCGUAGAUAUCCGGAGGAACACCAGUGGCGAAGGCGGCCACCUGGACUGAUACUGACGCUGAGACACGAAAGCGUGGGGAGCAAACAGG